CCUACGGGAGGCAGCAGUGGGGGAUAUUGCACAAUGGGGGAAACCCUGAUGCAGCGACGCCGCGUGUGGGAAGACGGUCCUCUGGAUUGUAAACCACUGUCCCCAGGGACGAAGAUGACGGUACCUGGGGAGGAAGCUCCGGCAAACUACGUGCCAGCAGCCGCGGUAAUACGUGGGGAGCGAGCGUUGUCCGGAAUUACUGGGUGUAAGGGGAGCGUAGGCGGGACGGCAAGUUGAGUGUCAAAUCUACCGGAUCAACCGGUCGCCGACCUGGAAACUGCGGUUCUUGAGUGAAGUAGAGGCAGGCGGAAUUCCUAGUGUAGCGGUGAAAUGCGUAGAUAUUAGGAGGAACACCAGUGGCGAAGGCGGCCUGCUGGGCUUUUACUGACGCUGAGGCUCGAAAGUGUGGGGAGCAAACAGGAUUAGAUACCCCGGUAGUC
Molecule: ribosomal RNA, 440 nt
Filed under: uncultured bacterium
Lineage: Bacteria
Description: partial 16S ribosomal RNA
Rfam family: Bacterial small subunit ribosomal RNA
Source: RNAcentral